CGAGAAUACUUCGUGAGUCCCUGGUUGAUGAAAUCAUCUGAAGCAUAACCAAGAAAAGCCUCUAGGGUUGAAGCAAGCAACCGUACUAAAACGACACAGGUAGGCGAGGCGAGUAGCCUAAGGCGCGCGGGAGAACGGUGGUUAAGGAACUCUGCAAAUUUUCCCCGUAACUUCGGGAUAAGGGGCGCCCUGCGAUGUGUUAAAGCAUUGCGGGGCCGCAGGAAUUGGCUCUAGCGACUGUUUAUCAAAAACACAGGACUCUGCGAACUCGUAAGAGGAUGUAUAGAGACUGACGCCUGCUCGGUGCCGGUAAGUUAAGGAAGAGGGUGAGGCGAAGCUGAAGCCCGCAACCGAAGCUCCGGUAAACGGCGGCCCUAACUAUGAGGGUCCUAAGGUAGCGAAGUUCCUUGUCGGGUAAGUUCCGACCUGCAUGAAUGGCGUAACGACUGGAGCACUGUCUCAACCACCGACCCGGUGAAGUUGUAGCCGUGGUGAAGAUGCCACGUUCCCGCAUCGUGACGGAAAGACCCUAUGAACCUUU
Molecule: non-coding RNA, 541 nt
Filed under: Beta vulgaris subsp. vulgaris (sugar beet)
Lineage: Eukaryota; Viridiplantae; Streptophyta; Magnoliopsida; Caryophyllales; Amaranthaceae
Description: Bacterial large subunit ribosomal RNA
Rfam family: Bacterial large subunit ribosomal RNA
Source: Rfam by way of RNAcentral